UGGUCUGGCCUCACUUCUUGUCAACAAAACAGAAGUCAAACAAUAUUUCUACCUUCCAAGAGAAUAGAACAUAAUGUCAGAUUUUCUCAUGGAUUUCCACUAGUUCAAGGAAGUUUCAUGGCCUUCAUUUAUUUCUUCUGCAGAGGUCUCAGGAUCACCUAGAAAUAUAAGAUACUUCGUUGGAAUUUGGAAGAUACCUCCUGCUCCAAAACUACUUCAAAGAUGUGCUCUUUUUCCCUGGGAACAGAGCCCCAGAUCAAGGCAUCUGGCGUGGGAAGCAUAAUGGAAACGUGGGACAUGGAGAAAGACGCACACAGACACAGGGAAGACGCCACGUAGACAUAAAGGCAAUGGUGUGGGAGAGGCAUCUACGGGUCAAGGAAUGUCAAAAUGUGUCAGCAAGAUGACAUUCCACCAGACGCUGAAGAGAAGCAUGAACAGAUUCCCCACAGCCCUCGGAAAGACCCAGCCUGCUGGUAUCUUAACCUCACACUUCUGGCCUCCAGAACUGAGGGACAAUAAAUUUCUGUUGUUUAAGCUUC
Non-coding RNA from Macaca mulatta (Rhesus monkey), 542 nucleotides. The record is from RefSeq and is a predicted model, not a curated record. NCBI's taxonomy places the organism in Eukaryota, Metazoa, Chordata, Mammalia, Primates, Cercopithecidae.